RNAcentral lists this ribosomal RNA (253 nucleotides) under uncultured bacterium. RNAcentral describes it as "partial 16S ribosomal RNA". It matches the Rfam family "Bacterial small subunit ribosomal RNA", at positions 524 to 776 of the family's 1533-position model. The record is from RNAcentral.
UACGUAGGGUGCAAGCGUUAAUCGGAAUUACUGGGCGUAAAGCGUGCGCAGGCGGUGAUGUAAGACAGUUGUGAAAUCCCCGGGCUCAACCUGGGAACUGCAUCUGUGACUGCAUUGCUGGAGUGCGGCAGAGGAGGAUGGAAUUCCGCGUGUAGCAGUGAAAUGCGUAGAGAUGUGGAGGAACACCGAUGGCGAAGGCAGCCCCCUGGGCUAACACUGACGCUCAGGCACGAAAGCGUGGGGAGCAAACAGG